GAUGAACGCUGGCGGCGUGCCUAAUACAUGCAAGUCGAGCGAACGGACGAGAAGCUUGCUUCUCUGAUGUUAGCGGCGGACGGGUGAGUAACACGUGGAUAACCUACCUAUAAGACUGGGAUAACUUCGGGAAACCGGAGCUAAUACCGGAUAAUAUUUUGAACCGCAUGGUUCAAAAGUAAAAGACGGUCUUGCUGUCACUAAUAGAUGGAUCCGCGCUGCAUUAGCUAGUUGGUAAGGUAACGGCUUACCAAGGCAACGAUGCAUAGCCGACCUGAGAGGGUGAUCGGCCACACUGGAACUGAGACACGGUCCAGACUCCUACGGGAGGCAGCAGUAGGGAAUCUUCCGCAAUGGGCGAAAGCCUGACGGAGCAACGCCGCGUGAGUGAUGAAGGUCUUCGGAUCGUAAAGCUCUGUUAUUAGGGAAGAACAUAUGUGUAAGUAACUGUGCACAUCUUGACGGUACCUAAUCAGAAAGCCACGGCUAACUACGUG
RNAcentral lists this ribosomal RNA (497 nucleotides) under uncultured bacterium. Its description in RNAcentral is "partial 16S ribosomal RNA". It matches the Rfam family "Bacterial small subunit ribosomal RNA", at positions 28 to 507 of the family's 1533-position model. The record is from RNAcentral.